This 666-nucleotide long non-coding RNA is filed under the name Ananas comosus (pineapple). RNAcentral describes it as "long non-coding RNA (ACOM_LNC017668)". The record is from RNAcentral. Lineage: Eukaryota; Viridiplantae; Streptophyta; Magnoliopsida; Poales; Bromeliaceae.
UAGAGCGAUAAACCGGCUGGUGAUAUUUGUGGUGAGCAUUUGCGAACAUUCUAUGUUAGAAUUUGGUUAGAUUUGUAGUUGAAUCCUAAUAGGAUUAGGAUUAAUAUUUUAAUCUGUUGGAGAUAAAUUAAGAUUUAAAUAUUAAUUAGAGUAGAAAUCUAAUUAGAUUAGGAUUUGGGUAGCCUUUUGAUGUAAGCUAUAAAUAUAGCAUAUGUGCUAUUAUUGUUGUGGUGGUGGUACGGAUUAGCCACACCCAUAUGACAUGGCCAAUGUGGUCAUAAUUUUGGAUGCAUGGGUGCAAGCACUACAAUAAAACAGGCCUAUGCCGACGCUUUUACGCCGACGCAUUUAAAAAGCGUCGGUAAAUUUCUCCACCGUCGCAAUAUUACCGACGCUUGGGUUUUGCGUCGUUAAUUAUAUUGCGCGGNUCUCUUACGUCUUCUCUCUCGUCUUCCACCUAACAGCGAAAAAUACUCUUUCCAACCCACCUCUCUCUAACAGCAAUAACUCAAUCCCUCUCCCAGCUUCCUCUCUUCCCAAACCACCUCUCACCAAUCACUCUAUCUCUCUCCUAGCUUCCUCUCUUCCUAAACUAAAGAGUUCUCUCCAGUGAAUUUCCUCACUCCUACGUAUGAGGUAUCUCUUGCGCCCUAAUCUUCAUUCUCU